GUUCUUAUGGUCUAGUGGUAAAGACAUUACUUUUUCAUAGUAAAAACACGGAUUCAAAUUCCGUUAAGAAUA
RNAcentral lists this transfer RNA (72 nucleotides) under Asterionella formosa. Its description in RNAcentral is "tRNA-Glu". It matches the Rfam family "tRNA". From Rfam's summary of the family: Transfer RNA (tRNA) molecules are approximately 80 nucleotides in length. Lineage: Eukaryota; Bacillariophyta; Fragilariophyceae; Tabellariales; Tabellariaceae. The record is from RNAcentral.